UAGGGAAUCUUCCACAAUGGACGCAAGUCUGAUGGAGCAACGCCGCGUGAGUGAAGAAGGGUUUCGGCUCGUAAAGCUCUGUUGGUAGUGAAGAAAGAUAGAGGUAGUAACUGGCCUUUAUUUGACGGUAAUUACUUAGAAAGUCACGGCUAACUACGUGCCAGCAGCCGCGGUAAUACGUAGGUGGCAAGCGUUGUCCGGAUUUAUUGGGCGUAAAGCGAGUGCAGGCGGUUCAAUAAGUCUGAUGUGAAAGCCUUCGGCUCAACCGGAGAAUUGCAUCAGAAACUGUUGAACUUGAGUGCAGAAGAGGAGAGUGGAACUCCAUGUGUAGCGGUGGAAUGCGUAGAUAUAUGGAAGAACACCAGUGGCGAAGGCGGCUCUCUGGUCUGCAACUGACGCUGAGGCUCGAAAGCAUGGGUAGCGAACAGGAUUAGAUACCCUGGUAGUCCACGCCGUAAACGAUGAGUGCUAAGUGUUGGGAGGUUUCCGCCUCUCAGUGCUGCAGCUAACGCAUUAAGCACUCCGCCUGGGGAGUACGACCGCAAGGUUG
Molecule: ribosomal RNA, 550 nt
Filed under: uncultured bacterium
Lineage: Bacteria
Description: bacterial SSU rRNA
Rfam family: Bacterial small subunit ribosomal RNA
Source: RNAcentral